CAAUAGCGUAUAUUAAAGUUGUUGCAGUUAAAAAGCUCGUAGUUGGAUUUGUGGCGUACGGUGUGUUCCGGGCACUUGUUGUCUGAGUAACCUGCUGUUGCCAUCCUUGGGUGGAACCUGUGUGGCAUUAGGUUGUCGUGCAGGGGAUGCCCAUCAUUUACUGUGAAAAAAUUAGAGUGUUCAAAGCAGGCUUAUGCCGUUGAAUAUAUUAGCAUGGAAUAAUGAGAUAGGACUUUUUUGCUAUUUUGUUGGUUUGCGCAAAGAGGUAAUGAGUAAUAGGGACAGUUGGGGGUAUUCGUAUUCCAUUGUCAGAGGUGAAAUUCUUGGAUUUUUGGAAGACGAACUACUGCGAAAGCAUUUACCAAGGAUGUUUUCAUUAA
Molecule: ribosomal RNA, 380 nt
Filed under: uncultured eukaryote
Lineage: Eukaryota
Description: partial 18S ribosomal RNA
Rfam family: Eukaryotic small subunit ribosomal RNA
Source: RNAcentral